AGCCCUCUGUAUCCGUACUGAGAUUUUGUCAGAGAUCAACCCGUUGGUGCUGAUGCAACUUACCAAAUAAGUGAAGCU
RNAcentral lists this microRNA precursor (78 nucleotides) under Trichobilharzia regenti. Its description in RNAcentral is "mir-3492 microRNA precursor family". It matches the Rfam family "mir-3492 microRNA precursor family". Lineage: Eukaryota; Metazoa; Platyhelminthes; Trematoda; Strigeidida; Schistosomatidae. The record is from Rfam by way of RNAcentral.